CUGCAGAUACGGUGACAUGGUUCCUAACACGAUCGCAGGGAAGAUCUUCGGCUCCAUCUGCUCCCUGAGCGGCGUUCUGGUCAUCGCGCUGCCCGUCCCGGUCAUCGUGUCUAAC
This is a non-coding RNA of Xiphophorus maculatus (southern platyfish), 115 nucleotides long. Lineage: Eukaryota; Metazoa; Chordata; Actinopteri; Cyprinodontiformes; Poeciliidae. The record is from Rfam.